This 425-nucleotide unclassified non-coding RNA is filed under the name soil metagenome. RNAcentral's name for it is "partial contains 5.8S ribosomal RNA, internal transcribed spacer 2, and large subunit ribosomal RNA". The stretch from base 1 to 120 matches the Rfam family "5.8S ribosomal RNA", at positions 35 to 154 of the family's 154-position model. The record is from RNAcentral.
GAUGAAGAAAGUAGCGAAAUGCGAUAAGUAGUGUGAAUUGCAGAAUUCCGUGAAUCAUCGAAUCUUUGAACGCACAUUGCGCCUUCUGGUAUUCCGGAAGGCAUGCCUGUUCGAGAGUCAUUAACAACCGUUUCGAUCCCUUUCUUUCAGAAAUUACAAAGAGGAAAAGGGUUUGGUUAUGGUGGAGGAGGGAAAGGGAGCGUUUAGCCUGUAAAAAAAGAGGCUGUGUUCCGCCUCCCCCCCAAAAUUGUACAGGCGGUCGUGUGCGCCCACGCAUCGAGGUGUUGUAAAAGCUGCCACGGCACUUUUCACCUGUGCAGUGCGAGAUUGGCCAGCCGGUUUAAAAACCCCUCCAAACAAUCAAAGGUUGACCUCGGAUCAGGUAGGGAUACCCGCUGAACUUAAGCAUAUCAAUAAGCGGAGGA